Long non-coding RNA from Triticum aestivum (bread wheat), 5158 nucleotides. RefSeq lists it as uncharacterized. The record is from RefSeq and is a predicted model, not a curated record. The transcript has 12 exons. NCBI's taxonomy places the organism in Eukaryota, Viridiplantae, Streptophyta, Magnoliopsida, Poales, Poaceae.
CCAGUCCCCUCGCACGCCUCGCACUCCCAUGCCUCAACGAAAAAGAACCAGCGAAAAAACCUACGAAGAAAAAACAAUGAAAAAAAAGCAGGCGACUCGCACGCACGAGCGAGAGUGCCCUCGAGCGAGGCCUCCAGAUUUCGCCGCCGCUCUCGCACUUGCCGUCGCCGAUGCCUGCGCUACCUCGACGGAAGCCAUCGCAAAUCCAUCCCUUCGCCGCCGCCCUCGCGCUCGCAUCAAGGAUCGAGGACUCCAGAGUGCCCUAAAUCCCUGCGCUACCUCCGUUCGUCGCCGCCGAUCUCGUCGCUACGUCGCUCGCCACGGGCAGGGAUCGGCGUCUCGCCGGCGUGGAGCGUGGCAGGGGAGAGAAGGGUGGGUAAGAUCGGCGGGGCAGAGUUCAUCCGGAAGGACGGCGCGGUGGACGACAUGUACGGAUACCUCAACUACCUGUCCCUUGAGUAUGACUCGUCUCGGACACCAAUCCUGCUUGGCUGAUCUGCUAUGGCUGCGGUUCCUUGUGGCAGAGUUCUCUAUAUUCCAAUUAAUUUGAAAGCAGAUGAUAAACUCUGAUCUGCUUGUCCAUUUAUACUAUAUCCCAGAUCUCAUUUGUGCCUAGAAUAUGAGCUUCUUCACGGCAAUUUCAAAGUUACAUGUACCAUAGUAAGCCAAUCAAAAUCUGCACCAUGGUAUUUUCAAGGUCCAUGCUUCAAAUAUAAAUAAGAUUUUGUCCUUCUAUCUGAAACUUGAUCUUCUGCUUAUGUUUGCAUUUGCUAUCGAUGAUGUGAAUUUGAGCAAAUACCCCACAACGUUUUCACUGAGUUUGGAUAGCAUAUUUUAUGUAGGUUGGUGAGAAGCGAGGCCGACUCAUAUUUGAUGAAGAAUGAUGUGCAACCAGUAAGAAGAUUAGGACGGGUAUUCCAGUAAUCCCGUGGAUUAGUCUCUAUAGUUGUUAGCAGCCUAUAAAGCAGAGGGUAUUCCCAUUUAGAAUAUGUUCGUGUGCAUCCACGGCCCCACCCUCUCUGAAUUGGGGAAUUUCGACCUCCUCUGGCACGCAUGCACCCACGUACUGGAGCUCAUGAUGGAGCAGCACUAAGGCUGAUGCUGAGGGGACACAUAUGGACAGCGCCGCCUUGCGUCUCAGCAACUCUAUGGCUCGCACCUUGAUUCGUUCGCUGACCUCCUCUGGCGCGCAUGCACCCACGUACUAGAGCUUAUGAAUGAGCAGCACUAAGGCUGAUGCUGAGGGGACACAUAUGGACAGCGCUGCCUCGCGUCUCAGCAGCUCUAUGGCUCGCACCUUGAUUUGUUCGUUGCCACACGCCUCAACUGCUUGGCGACGCGCACGAUUGGUGGAGCCACCUGCCACAUGACUUCGCAGUUCGCGCCUAUUUUGGUUCUUAAGGUUCAUGGCCAUGAUUUUUUUUGGAAUGCAAAAUUUGGUGCGAGUUCAUAUGAAUCACACAAUGCUUCGCAUAAGUUGGUGCAGAUUUAAUCGGGAACUUUGGUAAUACAAAUCCCCCUCCAUUGCCUCUUUUCAUAGUCAGUCAUCGUUUCUAUUUCGAUUUUGGUAGCUAUGCCUAUCCUUGUUAUAGAUCAUAGGGUUGUCAUCUUCACAGAUCAUGAUAUAUAAGUGAUGCAAAAUGCAGAUGACCCACAAUCUAUCUGAAACUAUUUAUCUACAGUUGUGUUCUUUUUGGGGUAUCUGAACAUGUCCUAAAGAUUUUGAAGAAAUGGAUAGCCAAAACGGUGGUGUCUUUGGCCAGAUGAUUUGACCAUCAUCUAUGAUCUGGAAGAAGAACCUCUCACACAAACAUGUAUAUUUAUUUGUGAAUCCAAUCAUAACCAGAAUGUAUUUGACCUUUUACAUUUUCCGACAGAAAGUAUGAGCACCUAAAUUUCUUGGAAUUCAGUAGCUCAUGUCUUGGAUACAUAGCUCUGGAAGAUAAUUUGGGGAAGAGACUAGAAGUCAACAAAAUGUGUAUUGUGAUUCUGGUCUAAGAACAUUUUUUCUUGUAUAGCAUGUCUUGGAUGAGAAAGGUCGUGAGAACUUCAAUGAAUACUUCAGCACUGCCAACAGAUGCUGACAAAGAUGAAAAAACAUGAGGUUGCUGACAACAUUGAGUGUGACUUGCUUUUGGUGCUACUGCUGCUGAAGACAAGCUCCAGAAAAAGGUACUAGAAUGCAUUGAAAAGCUCCCACAAGCAGGAAUUAAGUUCUGUGUGCUGACUGUGACAAAAUGGAUAGCUAUCAAUAUUGGGUUCUUGAUUUUUUUUGAUCGAAUCACUGGAUGUUUCCCUGGUUGGUCUUAUGGUGAGGAUCAGAUAGUUCUCUUUGAUGAUGAUGGCACCAACACAGAAGAUGCAGCUUGCGGAUCCCACGGCAGGACUCGGAUGAUGACGAUGAACCUGACUACCUAUUGCAAUCUGAACACCUAAAGAAGUUCUUGUUCUACGGUGACAACGUCAGGCGCAAGGCGGUGGUGGAGACAUGCGCGGACGAGCACGUGCAGAAGCGAAUGGUGCUCCACGGCUGCUGCUGUGUCAUCGGGAUGAAUCCCAGGGCUCUCAAGUUGUCGAGGUAUUUCUGCCUAUGUUGUGUACAUCUUAGCAAUGUGUAUGUGUAGUCUCCAAGGGUAAGAACUAUAUUGCCCGGUCCAGUCACGUGGUGUGUAUUGGUGUUUGGAAUUCAGGCAUGUACUCAUUCAUACUGAAAUUGAACUCUGAAAGAACUGAUCAUGUUGUACGGUGUUGUCUCUAGGCCUACCAGUUCUGGCAGUUUUCAUGCAAGGAAAAUAACAGAGAAUUUCCUUGAAUUUGGUCAAAGUUUCAUUUGUUUUGUCAUAUGAAGAUGGCCUGACGCCUAAGAAGUCACAUGGGAGAUAAGGCUAUCCCUGGAUUUGAACUCUGUAGCCAAACAUUUAUAUUAAGUUCGGUGUAUUGAAAUAUUGGCUGCAAUUUUCAGUGCCGAGGGAUUGAGUUUCACUUUAACUUUUACUAACAGAUAUUAGGUGAGAGUGCGGAAGAAAUAAAGGUUGCAUAUGACAUGCACGAGAGGAAAUCAGAGAUGGCUCGGCGAUCCCAAGGCAACAUCGAUAUGCAGCAUAUAGCUAGGACGUCUGGGGUAGUAUCAGAAACGACCGCGUAAAGGGCCUAAACAGUAAGCAAAAAAUCUGCUUGUCAAACAAGCAUACAUAAUCAUGUUCUAUAUGAGUUUUUGGAUUAGUAACCUGUCAUGUGCAAUUAAGAAAAUAGCAGCAACAAUGGUAAAAAGAUUAAGAGAAAAUAUGUUUUUGCAAUUGGGACAAUCAUGUCAAAUACUGAGAAAAUCUGGUUGCGCAAUCGGGAUAUGAUCAGGUAAAAAAUAAUAUUAACAAUAUGUAGUGCUUAAUUUAUUUUUAUGUUUGGAGACCCUUGAAAAGAAUAGAAAAGAAAUGAUUAGAUGUUUCCAUGCUAGAUCUAUUUUAUUUGUUUCACUACUGCAACAGUAACAUGGAAUGAAUAGCAAAGAGUAUGAGGAAAUUUGAUUUACAGAAACCGGCAAAAAAAAUCUUGAAUUAGGGAAGUAAUAAUGCUUAAUUUAUUUUUAUAUUUGGAAACCCUUGAAAACAAUAGAAAAGAAAUGAUUAGAUGUUAACACCCUAGAUCCAUUUUAUUCGUUUCACUAUUGCAACAGUAACAUGGAAUGAGCAAGAAAGAGUAUGACGCUGCGUUUGGAUGUCUCCAUUGGUGCCCAGGAAAUGGAUUUGAGGGCUACCCCUUCGAAUUGGACUGAAAUGGCCAACCUCCCGCAAAACGUACCUGUUCGAGCCUGCUACCAGAAAAUAAAAGAGAGAAAGGAGCGAGAGGGCGACCUCGUGAUGACCUAGCAGGUAGCGGGCGGGUGGCCGCGGCGACCUAGCAGGUGGGUGGCGGCGGCGACCACCAUGGAGUCCGACGGCGUCAAGGAUGCCCUCCUCCCCGGUCCUUUCCCUCUUUCCCAACUCCUCUUCUCCGCCCCACCGAGCCACACCCCUCCAUGGAGGUCGGCGGCGGCCCAGGACCGGCGCGCCCCGCUCCCAUAUGCCACUCCGUGUCGUCCUUCCCGGCCACCAUGCCCCGCCCUCCUCGGCCACGCCCCACCAUCCUCUGCCCCUCUUCUGCUCCAUGACCGAAAGAGCUGCUGCUCCUCUUCUGCUCCAUGGCUGAAGGAGAUGCAUUGCUAGAAUAUUUGUUAUUUUACUGCUAUUUCAUUUAAUUAUAGUCGCAUGUGAUCAGAUUUCAUUUUUGAGUCAUCUAGAACAUGGUAUAAUUUUCAUGGUAAUAUAGCUAUGCAAUUCCAAAGUUUGUCAUCCAAACAUGAUUUGGUAUUGAAACCUCAAAGGCAUUUCAAGGAGCAAUUCAGUGGACAACCAAACAUGCGAUUUCAUAUUCGUGCCAUUUCAGUUUCCUCACUGGUUUGAAACCAGCAAAUUUGAUAAGUAAUAGAUUUUCUGUUGUAGGUUUGUUUUCCCUUUUGCGGAGUUGCAAUAGUAACAUGCAAUUGUAGGCUACUAGAUGGAACAAUCAUGAAAGAGUAGGAGCUAACUUUAUUUUGAAAAUAGGAAGGUUAGAUUUUGCAAUAGUAUAGCAUGCCAACAUAUUUUUCAUAAUAGGAAUGGUAGCAUUUUUCAUAACAGUAGUAAUUCCAGAUUUGUUAACUUGCGGAUCAAGUGGGUAGGCUUCUAAAAAGGCAGUUGACUAAAGAUGAGCAAAGGGUUGUGUACGCUUAGAAAGGAUGUCUUGGAGAGUGUUGAAUGAUGGAGGGACAAAGUAGGUGUCGGCUUUGGCUUGUGUUCCUCUUGAGACUGUGCAACCCAACUUGGAAAGAAGGCAAGAAGGUGGUGGCAUACAAGACAUCAAGAGCAAGAAACCGAUGAUUUGUGAAUGGAAGAGGAUCAGAUUUAGUUCCAAUGUCAGAAACCGAAGAUCUCUUACACAAUAGUUUUUGUGUAAGAGAAAUUACCGUCGACAACCAGAGUAUGAUCUUGAUAGCUUGAAACAAGGUAGACUAUCUCAUGACCUUGAUUUGUAUUAGAGUGUGUAUGUGUAUGUAUAAGUGUAAAACAUAUUCAUACUAUUUAUCACCUGUAGUCAUUGUUGUGCAUUACAUCUUUAAAUUGCCACCUUUAUUGUCUUCAUC